RNAcentral lists this ribosomal RNA (465 nucleotides) under uncultured bacterium. RNAcentral's name for it is "partial 16S ribosomal RNA". It matches the Rfam family "Bacterial small subunit ribosomal RNA", at positions 338 to 795 of the family's 1533-position model. The record is from RNAcentral.
CCUACGGGAGGCAGCAGUAGGGAAUCUUCCACAAUGGGCGAAAGCCUGAUGGAGCAACGCCGCGUGGGUGAAGAAGGUCUUCGGAUCGUAAAACCCUGUUGUUAGAGACGAAAGCGCGUGAGAGUAACUGUUCACGCUUCGACGGUAUCUAACCAGACAGCCACGGCUAACUACGUGCCAGCAGCCGCGGUAAUACGGAGGGGGCAAGAGUUAUCCGGAGUUAUGGGGCGUAAAGUGAACGCAGGCGGUCUGUUAAGUCUGAUGUGAAAGGCGUAGGCUUAACGGGCGUAGUGCAUUGGAAACUGGGGGACUUGAGUGCAGAAGAGGUGAAUGGAACUCCAGGUGUAGCGGUGAAAUGCGUAGAUAUAUGGAAGAACACCAGUGGCGAAAGCGGCUCUCUGGUCUGUAACUGACACUGAGGUUCGAAAGCGUGGGUAGCAAACAGGAUUAGAUACCCCUGUAGUC